UGGGGAAUAUUGGACUAUGGGCGAAAGCCUGAUCCAGCAAAGCCGCGUGUGUGAAGAAGGCCUGCGGGUUGUAAAGCACUUUCAGUUGGGAAGAUCAUGACGUUACCAACAGAAGAAGCACCGGCUAACUCCGUGCCAGCAGCCGCGGUAAUACCGAGGGUGCAAGCGUUAAUCGGGAUUACUGGGCGUAAAGCGCGCGUAGGCGGCUAGGUCAGUCAGAUGUGAAAGCCCCGGGCUUAACCUGGGAAUAGCAUUUGAUACUGCCUGGCUGGAGUAUGGUAGAGGGAAGUGGAAUUC
RNAcentral lists this ribosomal RNA (297 nucleotides) under uncultured prokaryote. Its description in RNAcentral is "partial 16S ribosomal RNA". It matches the Rfam family "Bacterial small subunit ribosomal RNA", at positions 355 to 669 of the family's 1533-position model. The record is from RNAcentral.